This 215-nucleotide long non-coding RNA is filed under the name Vigna radiata. RNAcentral describes it as "long non-coding RNA (VRAD_LNC002153)". The record is from RNAcentral. Lineage: Eukaryota; Viridiplantae; Streptophyta; Magnoliopsida; Fabales; Fabaceae.
CGUUGUGAAGCUGGACACGUGAAGGCUGAGCUGUUAGAUGCAUCGCUGCUGGAACAAUUGGAUUUAGACCGUGAAUGCAGCUGCACCUCCUUAAGCCCGUGCACUGGCCGAGACAGCCCAAAUGUGUUGCUUUUGUGUGCUGGAUGUUUCUAGCUGGACUAGGUGCGCGCUGCUGCAGCCCUUAAAACGAAGAUGUUCCUCUCCUUAACGUGCUG